Molecule: long non-coding RNA, 1392 nt
Filed under: Felis catus (domestic cat)
Lineage: Eukaryota; Metazoa; Chordata; Mammalia; Carnivora; Felidae
Description: lncRNA (ENSFCAG00000044899.2)
Source: RNAcentral
UUUUCUUUACCCUGUCAUUAUUCCUCUUCUGGCUUUCCUGGAUUACAGACACAAGUAGGUCACGUUGCAUUUACCCACCCUUUAUGCAAAGUGCUUUGGAGUGGAGCCUGGGGCCUGGUCCAACUGGGAAUGACCAUCUUAUCAUUGCCGGAAUGAAAAGCUGCUUUUAAACCUUGUCAGCCACAUUACCAGGAAGCCCUUUGCUGGCACAAACCCACUGCUUUCUAUUUCCUUCUUAUAUUUUUCCCUUUUUUGUUCUCCUUGCCUUUCCUUAUUUGCCUGCCCUGGUGGUCUUUUGUUUCCUGAAUCAAAUCCUCUUUGUUCUUUAUGAUGUGGGACAUCUUAGUUCCUCUAAUCAAGACAAUUUUACAUCAUAGAUCGUGUCUGAUCACCUCCAAGGGAACGUUUGGAGCCUUGUCGAGGUAGGCUUUGAGCAGCAAGGACCUCAUCUGGGCCUCAGCUGUAUCCACAACAGCUCUGGAAGAUAUACAUGAUAAAAGCACCCUGUCAACCACGGACACAUCCCACAGCCAUUUCCCCCUUGUGACAGCUCAUAAAAUGCUGCAUAAUAGUUCCUGUGUGAGUAUGAGAAAAUACUGAAACAACGUCAAGAGAAUCAAGCAAAAGGCAACUGGUCCCCUGGAUCCGUCUUCAUUGGGUCCCACUGGACAACUUUUUUUGCCGGAUGAACGGUAGAGGCUGGUAAUACCACAAACAACAUUCCAGGAUAGCAAAAAUUUAAGAUGUUACCUGAAGGAAUUUCCGGAGCCCUACUCUAAACCCAAUCCUGAAGAUGUCACAGAAGGGAGAAAGAAAAUGGUGGAUCUAAGAAAAUAUUGGAAAAACUGAAAAGUCCCUGGAGAGACAGAAGUUGGCUCCGUUCUGAGUCCUAGCUGAAGCAACGACCAACUAGAAAAUGCAUUAGAAAUCCAGGCAUCAUCCAGAAGAGCAUUAAAAAACCUAAGGAAGACAUUGGAGAAUUCGUAUGCUAUUUUAGCUGGCUCUGUGAUUGCAAUCACACAAAUCACUCCAUUCCAGAGAGAUUUCACGAACAGGAGGUUUUUCCAUUUCAGCCUUUCAAGGUAAAACAUUAUCUUUUCAUUUUCUGUAUACUCCAGGGAAUCAAGAAAUUAUGAAACGUAAGCCAUAAUUAUAAUAGCAUUUCUAAGUCUUCCUUGAUGGUCACAGUUAAGAAAAGGGAAGAGGAGAACUCUUUUGUUCCCAGUGACAUUAAAAUGCCCAGUCAGAUAAAAAUAAUAUUGAAUUGGCUUUCCUUUGUUCAACUGUUGUAACCUGCAAUCUCACUGCCUAUUUCACCCCAAAAUGAGUUAGUGUUGCAGAGCAAGAUAAUGACUCUCCCAUAAGCUUAUGAAUUGCUAUAGAACUGGAACC